GAUGAACGCUGGCGGCGUGCUUAACACAUGCAAGUCGAACGAUGAAGCCCAGCUUGCUGGGUGGAAGAGUGGCGAACGGGUGAGUAACACGUGAGUAACCUGCCCCUGACUCUGGGAUAAGCGCUAGAAAUGGCGUCUAAUACUGGAUAUGACCUAUCACCGCAUGGUGUGUAGGUGGAAAGAUUUAUCGGUUGGGGAUGGACUCGCGGCCUAUCAGCUUGUUGGUGAGGUAAUGGCUCACCAAGGCGACGACGGGUAGCCGGCCUGAGAGGGUGACCGGCCACACUGGGACUGAGACACGGCCCAGACUCCUACGGGAGGCAGCAGUGGGGAAUAUUGCACAAUGGGCGCAAGCCUGAUGCAGCAACGCCGCGUGAGGGAUGACGGCCUUCGGGUUGUAAACCUCUUUUAGUAGGGAAGAAGCGCAAGUGACGGUACCUGCAGAAAAAGCACCGGCUAACUACGUGCCAGCCGCCGCCGUAA
Molecule: ribosomal RNA, 483 nt
Filed under: uncultured bacterium
Lineage: Bacteria
Description: partial 16S ribosomal RNA
Rfam family: Bacterial small subunit ribosomal RNA
Source: RNAcentral